ACGACUCCGCACCGGAUAUCUCGGCUUCGCAUUCGUAUUGAAGAACGUAGCAGAAAUCAUACGUUGGUGUGAAUUUGCAGAAUCCCGUGAACCAUCGAGUCUUUGACGCAAGUUGCCCCCGAAGCCGUUAGUGCGAGGCACGUCUGCCUGGGCGUCA
This 157-nucleotide ribosomal RNA is filed under the name Ipomoea nil (Japanese morning glory). RNAcentral's name for it is "5.8S ribosomal RNA". It matches the Rfam family "5.8S ribosomal RNA". From Rfam's summary of the family: 5.8S ribosomal RNA (5.8S rRNA) is a component of the large subunit of the eukaryotic ribosome. It is transcribed by RNA polymerase I as part of the 45S precursor that also contains 18S and 28S rRNA. Lineage: Eukaryota; Viridiplantae; Streptophyta; Magnoliopsida; Solanales; Convolvulaceae. The record is from Rfam by way of RNAcentral.